UUUUUAGGAAAUAAUUUAAGAUCCAAUCUGCUCACUGAUUAAUUUUAAAGAGCCGCAGUAUAAUGACUGUGCAAAGGUAGCAUAAUCAAUAGUUUUUUAAUUGGAAACUGGGAUGAAAGAUUAGACAAAAUAUUAACUUUCUUUAUUUUUGAAAUUGAAUUUAAAAUUUAAGUUAAAAUUCUUAAAUAAUUUUAAAAGACGAGAAGACCCUAUAGAGUUUUAUUAUUAGGGUUUAAAAUAUAAAAUAGUAAUAAUUUAAUUGGGGCGAUUUUGUAAAAUAAGAAACUUAAAAAUAAACAACCAUAAAUAAAUGAAAUUUUAGAUCAAAAAUUUUUUAAUUAAGUUUAAAUUACCUUAGGGAUAACAGCGUAAUUUUAUUUAAGAGUUCAUAUCUAUAAUAGAGAUUGCGACCUCGAUGUUGAAUUAAGGAAUAUACUGGAGCAGAAAUUGGUGUAUAUAAGUCUGUUCGACUAUUAAAUUC
This 481-nucleotide ribosomal RNA is filed under the name Peripsocus madidus. RNAcentral describes it as "partial 16S ribosomal RNA". It matches the Rfam family "Bacterial large subunit ribosomal RNA", at positions 1830 to 2595 of the family's 2925-position model. The record is from RNAcentral. Lineage: Eukaryota; Metazoa; Arthropoda; Insecta; Psocodea; Peripsocidae.